UCUCCCGCUUCUCUGCAGCGCCGGGUAAUAAAAGCCAGCGGCCAGAGUCUGGGGCUGGACUAGAGUUUGCAACACACAGGCGGGGAGGGAGGGAGGGAGGGUGGGUGGGGGGGAUUCCCUAUGUCAGCGGAGCUUUCUGAAAUCGGAACCGUGCAGCAAGGGGAGUCUCCGCUGCAUACUUUUAACCCCCUCCUCUCUGUUUCAUCUGCAUCUGAGAGUCGCUGCCGUUCCGCGGCGUGUGUGAGAUGGCUGCGUUUUUUUUUUUAUUGCAAAGGGAUUGAAUUAUUUUUCAGGGGUCCCAGGACACCAGGUUUCGCCUCAACAUGGAAAUUCCACGUGUUGGCCAUAACUCUGCAGCAUGCAUUCUGCUGAAGUGUGGCGAUCACAGUAGAUCGCCCCUCCCCACACCCCUCCCCUCCCCCCCCCCCCCCCCCCCCCCCCCCGACUCAACAUUUAUACCAAAAAGACGGCGGAGAUCAUCUAUGAACAAAGUUUAAAGCAUGAGAACCGAGUCUGGAAUUAAAGGAGGAUUUGCAGAACAAUUUGCAGGAUAAUAUGAAGUGGAAAAAUGGAUCGAGGACAACGUGGGAUGGCAGCGAUCCGCCAGGGAUGUCCCCAACGACUGCAAACUCUUUGAGAAAAGAGAGACGAGGAGCGCAAGAUGGGACAGUGGAACUCUUUGAAUUAAGAAAUAAAACCGGGCGCCUCGCAGGUUGGGGAAAGUGACGGCGAGGGGUGAAUUUAAAAAAAAAGCGGGACUGUUCAAAUGCAAGGAGAGAAGCCAGCAGAGGAGUGGUCAUCGAUGGAGUCUUGCACACACCAGCGGUCUUUCUCAGCUGAGUCAGCCCGAAAGCAGUGGUCGUCUCAAUUGCAGCGCUUCUGUGCAAAGCAGAACAAAAGAGCACAUGGGCACAAUCAGGGAGGCUCAAAAGCUCCAGGCUAAGACUUGAUCAAAAGCAGAAUCUUGUCAAGACGGAAGUUGGUCAUCGUCCGCAUUCUAAAGAGCCCGAACAUCUUCAAAGCGAUUGACGUAAAAGUUAUUUUUGUGGAUUCUGACCAUUUUAGACAUGUUAGCCCAGGUCACUUGUUAGAGCUUGUUUUUUUAAAAUAACUUUCCAGGAAUCAUAAAACGUCCAAAAUAGCAGUCAGUGGGUUAAUCUGCCAUAGUGCAGAAAUGCAGUAGAGACUUUACAUUUGAACAGAGUACAGACAGUUAAAACUAAAAUCAAUGUUGUUUGUUGUGGCCAGGCUGCCUUUGGUUGGUGUGACCGGUUAAUUUUGUCAACCAUGUUUCCCUUGUUUUUUGAUAACCACCGAACUAUUCUAUUCGGUGUUUUUUCCAAAAGAAAUAAUCAUGCAUCGUGGGGUUUUGAAAAAUUCAUUUACCUCACGGUAGGCCUGGAAUCUGCCUUGGAAUUUAGCAAAAUAACAUUUGGUAUUAAUUGCAUUUGAAUGAACUCCAUUGCAAUCUUUAAACCCCAAUCCAAAUUUUGAUUAGCUGCCUAAUUUCAAAUCCAGAUUGUACCUCGACGUAUUUUGGUAAGAAUAAUUUUUAAUGAGGAUGUCUGCUUAAUGCAAACCUAAAGUUAAGUGGCACCCCACAUUGAAAACACAAUUUACCUAUUAACUUUUCGCAUAAACCAAAUGCUACUUUAAGUCUCCAUUUUCACAAAACUCCUGGCGUGUUUUCGUGCUCGCAUUGAGAUCGUCGACGAAUCGCACCUUUAAAAACAUGAAUGGUUCUCAGUAAAAGAUUAAUAUUUUUCCUGACGUUCAUUUUUAUCGAACGGUUAGCAUCUUUUUUUUAAAGUCUUAAAUACACGUGGUCGCGUGUGGACUUUUAUUUGUGAUUUUGCUGAAUAUUUCCAAGCGAGUUACUCAAGUAUAAAUAAUUGUCAACUAAAAGUUAAAGAGGAUCCACUGUGAAUGAGAUUAAACUCCCGCGGCCUGUAAAGACUGAUUGCAAAGACAUGCUGCAUUCAUUCCAGUGUGUUUGGGUAAAAAACUGCUUCAGAACCGCAAAAAAAAAAAGCAACGUAUUCAUCAUGCAAAGUGUUGGAAAUCGGGCAUAACAUUAUUCUUUGUACUUCCUGAACGUCGAGGCUUAGUAGAAAGAACUUGGCCGCUGGUGAAAGCUUUGCAGUGCGGCGCUGAAGCCACGGCGUUAGAGAGUCUUUGACUUUUUGCACGUUUUUGACCAAGAAGUAGGUGGGUUUGGGUUUGUCUGGCAGUUUCAGCGCCCAGCGUUUGUGUAGACCUGGCACCCAUAUAAGUAGCCGUCCCCGCGUUAAAGCACGGAGAACCCGGCCAGGAAGCAGCGUCUGCUUUGUGGCGCUUUCCACCUUCAUUCAUUCUGCUCUGAAAGCAUUCAUUUCAGCUUUAGGAGCGCUCGGAGCAGAAGAAGGAGAUGAAUUGCGAGCAGUGUCACAUUUGACUCCAUAAAAGAUGGAGGAUUUCUACAUUGUUAAUUCCGGAGGUUGUACGUUGCAAUUUACAAGGCUGUUUAUAUAAAAACACAGUAACUUUCUUAGAUCGCUGUAAACAUGUAGGCGCUGAUUUCGGAGCCAUCUCAUUCUGAUCGCUGUACUCGUGCUUUGCUGGGGCUUUAUUCAAACACGGUUUUACUCGAGAGAGAAAUAAAAGAUAAAACACGUUA
Molecule: long non-coding RNA, 2656 nt
Organism: Leucoraja erinaceus (little skate)
Lineage: Eukaryota; Metazoa; Chordata; Chondrichthyes; Rajiformes; Rajidae
Exons: 2
Source: RefSeq, a predicted model, not a curated record